GAACAUAGGAAAUCAAGAACUUGAAAAAUACCAGCAAAGUCAUAGUUACAAUUGCAUGAAAGUUGUCCUUCAAUUACACAAAAACAUAUUCAAGUUUCACUAAGGAAAUCUAGAUCCUAGCUAGAACCAUCUUGGAGAUGUUGCCCAAGAUUCAAUUGUUGCUUCCAUGGUUUUUAAAUUCUGAGUACCGAAUGACAUCUGCUUCAACAUCCAUGGAAGCAACAAAUUUAUCUAGGCCAACAGGUCCCUUGAAAACAUCCAUCAUCAAGCAAGCAUAACAUCAACACACUUCACAACAAGUAGAUAGAGACCAGAGCACAAAAACUAUUUGAGCCAUUUCUACCACACACAACUAAACCAGUCUUUAACAACCCCAAAAAGACUCAUAUUUUGAGCUUGGUAGACUUCCAUGCACUACACGAACCAGAAACAGGAGAAGCCGAUAAAGCAAUGAAACCGACUCUGCGCUGCUGAAGAAAAUGCUGGUAAAACCAGACAGCUUCAAUCAGAAACUGGGACGGCACAAAAAGUGGUAAGCCAUGUCAUUCCUGGGAGGCUUUGCCCAAUUAUGUAUCUUACUAUCUUCAUAAUCGAUCAAUCCAACCUAGAAUACUAUCCUGAGAACUAAACUGCAGAUCCUGAGAACUGAACUGCAGAUCAGCAAGCUGUAAAUCUGGUGGAGUGUCCAGAUCCAGGUUCUCGAGGUCAGCAAUUCCACAAGGUGCAUUAUUGUUAUUCUUAUUAUUAUCAUUAUUUCCAGUCACUUGAUUUGUACUGUGAGCAAUGCCACUGUAUGAGACGUUAUUUAGUGCUGAACCAUUAAGGAAAAGCGAAGAAGAAUCAAAAAUUUCUUCGCACAACAAAGAAUCAUUGAUGCCACUAAAAUCAGGGUUUUCCACAGCCUGAGAUUCGCCAGCCAACCAUGCAUGGCAUCCCACAUCAUCCUCAGGAUGAACGCUAGGUGCAGGGACAUCGGGUGCUCCUUUAAUAAUGUCUUCUUCCCGGACAGAGAACUGAAAUACCAUUUCAUCAGCAGCAUCAUCAAAUGUAUCAGAUUUCUUAUGCCGUGGUGGAUUGGGAGGAUUUGUAAUGGGGGUCCUUGGACUAGCAUGAAGUGCCAAAAUAUCAGAAUCUUCAACAGUAAGACCAUCAUCAUUCAUGUCAGUUUGCUUCGGCUGUUGGUAGAAAAUUUUGGAAACCACAUAUUCACCGUCUUUUUCAUCUUCAUCAGUGCCCAGAUGAUAUUGAUGCAUUACCCAAUUGGAUUUAUCAGGCUUGGACCCCUUCUUUGCGCUUUUAUAAAGAACCAUGAUUUUCUUGCAGCCUUUCUGUACUCCAUUUUCCAUCACAGAUUUAGUCUUGCCUGUCUUGUGCCAGCGGACAUGAUCCUCAUUUGAACCUUGCCCAUUGUGGACCUUGCGACGCUUCCUUUGACCAGUAGCAUAAGCAUUGAUCGUUCUGUGAAAAAAAUGGACACUGCUUCCAUCUUUCUUAGCACCAGGAAGGUUUUCAGGGUGGGUAUAGCAAAUCCCUUUGUCGUCAACCAAUGUAGGAAUGAAUUCAUCUAUGAAUGCUUGCGGUUUUGAGUCUCCAACACCACAUUUAGCAGCUAAAUGUUCUAAAAUCUGUGCAUCUGAUGGAUCAAACUUUACACCAGCAGGAAGACCAGGCCAAUCAUGAGAAACAUCACUGUUAUCUAUGAAAUGAUGGCAAUUUGGGCAUUCACAAUUCGCUCCAUAGUCUUUGAUUUGAUAAGCAGAAGCUCGAGCGGGAUUUCUCACUUUCCUUGCAAUUGUUCGACUGUCGAUAAGCCAAGCCCUCGCCAUGUCUAAACAGAGACAAGCAGAGACUCGGAACUGUGCGUCUUAAGCUUUAUAAAACUCACUCCCCCUUCUCCACUGUCUAUUGCCUUGUCUCUGUCUUUGUAGUGUUGAGCGGGAAAUUAGGCGUGGCGGUGGAGGUUCGAGGCCAAGCAUCUUUACAUCGAAGUCAGCCACGUAGGAUAAAUGUGGGUCUAAGGCUGACUGAACGUAGACCCGAGGCUCAGAAGCCGUAGGUUAGGAUACGAAGCUGAGCUGAGUGCGCCUCGUGUCGAAUACUGUUGAUGGCUGAAGUGGCCUAGGGAAGCGAGCAGAGGGGUGAAAAUUGUAAAUAAAGGAAAAAUUGACUUGGCUAGCAAGGAAACUUGUGCGCCUGUUCCUGGGAUUUGAAA
This 2212-nucleotide unclassified non-coding RNA is filed under the name Hevea brasiliensis (rubber tree). The record is from RNAcentral. Lineage: Eukaryota; Viridiplantae; Streptophyta; Magnoliopsida; Malpighiales; Euphorbiaceae.